GAACAGGUUUCCGUAGGUGAACCUGCGGAAGGAUCAUUAUUGAAUAAACCUGAUGGGUUGUUGCUGGUUCUCUAGGGAGCAUGUGCACACCUUGUCAUCUUUAUAUCUCCACCUGUGCACUUUUUGUAGACCUUUCAGGUCUAUGUUGCUUCAUUUACCCCAAUGUAUGUUAAUAGAAUGUUGUGACUAUAUAAUAUAUACAACUUUCAGCAACGGAUCUCUUGGCUCUCGCAUCGAUGAAGAACGCAGCGAAAUGCGAUAAGUAAUGUGAAUUGCAGAAUUCAGUGAAUCAUCGAAUCUUUGAACGCACCUUGCGCUCCUUGGUAUUCCGAGGAGCAUGCCUGUUUGAGUGUCAUUAAUAUAUCAACCUUCUCUUUUUUGAGUUGUUUGGAUGUGGGGGUUUGCUGGACUCUUAAAUGGAUUCAGCUCCCCUGAAAUGCAUUAGCAGAACAACCUGUUCAUUGGCGUGAUAAUUAUCUAUGCUAUUGAAUAUGAGGGCAGUUCAGCUUUCUAACUGUCCUCGGACAAUUUAUCAUUAAUGUGACCUCAAAUCAGGUAGGACUACCCCCUGAACUUAAGCAUAUCAAUAGC
Molecule: ribosomal RNA, 591 nt
Filed under: Cortinarius helobius
Lineage: Eukaryota; Fungi; Basidiomycota; Agaricomycetes; Agaricales; Cortinariaceae
Description: eukaryotic LSU rRNA
Rfam family: 5.8S ribosomal RNA (bases 202-355)
Source: RNAcentral